AUUGAACGCUGGCGGCAGGCCUAACACAUGCAAGUCGAGCGGAUGAAGGGAGCUUGCUCCUGGAUUCAGCGGCGGACGGGUGAGUAAUGCCUAGGAAUCUGCCUGGUAGUGGGGGAUAACGUCCGGAAACGGGCGCUAAUACCGCAUACGUCCUGAGGGAGAAAGUGGGGGAUCUUCGGACCUCACGCUAUCAGAUGAGCCUAGGUCGGAUUAGCUAGUUGGUGGGGUAAAGGCCUACCAAGGCGACGAUCCGUAACUGGUCUGAGAGGAUGAUCAGUCACACUGGAACUGAGACACGGUCCAGACUCCUACGGGAGGCAGCAGUGGGGAAUAUUGGACAAUGGGCGAAAGCCUGAUCCGGCCAUGCCGCGUGUGUGAAGAAGGUCCUCGGAUUGUAAAGCACUUUAAGUUGGGAGGAAGGGCAGUAAGUUAAUACCUUGCUGUUUUGACGUUACCAACAGAAUAAGCACCGGCUAACUUCGUG
This 484-nucleotide ribosomal RNA is filed under the name uncultured bacterium. RNAcentral describes it as "partial 16S ribosomal RNA". It matches the Rfam family "Bacterial small subunit ribosomal RNA", at positions 30 to 507 of the family's 1533-position model. The record is from RNAcentral.